RNAcentral lists this ribosomal RNA (345 nucleotides) under uncultured bacterium. RNAcentral describes it as "bacterial SSU rRNA". It matches the Rfam family "Bacterial small subunit ribosomal RNA", at positions 29 to 398 of the family's 1533-position model. The record is from RNAcentral.
AACGAACGCUGGCGGCAGGCCUAACACAUGCAAGUCGAGCGAACCCUUCGGGGUUAGCGGCGGACGGGUUAGUAACGCGUGGGAAUAUACCCUUUGGGUACGGAAUAGCCUCGGGAAACUGAGAGUAAUACCGUAUGUGCCCUUGGGGGAAAGAUUUAUCGCCAAAGGACUUAGCCCGCGUUGGAUUAGAUAGUUGGUGGGGUAAUGGCCUACCAAGGUCUACGGAUCCAUAGCUGGUUUGAGAGGAUGAUCAGCAACACUGGGACUGAGACACGGCCCAGACUCCUACGGGAGGCAGCAGUGGGGAAUCUUAGACAAUGGGCGCAAGCCUGAUCUAGCCAUGCC